Molecule: ribosomal RNA, 207 nt
Filed under: uncultured bacterium
Lineage: Bacteria
Description: partial 16S ribosomal RNA
Rfam family: Bacterial small subunit ribosomal RNA
Source: RNAcentral
CACGUAGGCGGAUUGUUAAGUCAGAGGUGAAAUCCCGGAGCUCAACUUCGGAACUGCCUUUGAUACUGGCAAUCUAGAGUCCGGAAGAGGUUAGUGGAAUUCCCAGUGUAGAGGUGAAAUUCGUAGAUAUUGGGAAGAACACCAGUGGCGAAGGCGGCUAACUGGUCCGGUACUGACGCUGAGGUGCGAAAGCGUGGGGAGCAAACA